This 1413-nucleotide ribosomal RNA is filed under the name Scarabaeinae gen. 2 sp. 2 NLG-2017. RNAcentral describes it as "partial large subunit ribosomal RNA". Lineage: Eukaryota; Metazoa; Arthropoda; Insecta; Coleoptera; Scarabaeidae. The record is from RNAcentral.
CCUGUUCUAUAAUUGAUGAUCCACGAUUAAUUGUACUUUAUUUAAUAGUUUGUAUAUCGUCGUAGUUGAAUGUCUUAUAAGAGAUAAAAUGUUCAUAAUUUAAAAUUUAAUAAAAAAAAUCAGAUCAAGAUACAGUUUAUAAUAAAGAAGAAAUGGGUUACAAUAAAAUUAUUUUUGGUUAUAAUAAUUAACAUUAUUAUUUAAAUUGGAUUUGAAAGUAAUAUAUUUAAGUUAAAAUAUAUGAUUUAAGCUCUAGAAUAUGCACAUAUCGCCCGUCACUUCCGUUGAAUUUUAAAAUGGAAUAAGUCGUAACAUAGUAGGUGUACCGGAAGGUGUACCUAGAAUGAAGCAAAUUAAAGCUUAUAGAGURUCUUAUUUACAUUAAGAAGAUAAAUUAUUAAUAUAAUUUAAUUUGAAUUAAAUAAUUUAUUUUUAAGUUGUUAAUUUAAUUUUUUUUUAAAAAAAAUAUUUUUAUGUUUGUUUAUUAAUAAAGAUAAAAUUAUUAUAAUGAUAGUUAAUUAGUAUAGUGAUAGGGCGUAAAUUAUAUAAUAUUUAAAUUAUUAAAAGAAAAAUUUAAUUUUUGUACCUUGUGUAUCAGGGUUUAUUAAAUAAUAAUUAUAUAUUUUAAUUUUCUCGAAUUUAAAAGAGUUAAAUAAUUAUAAAUUUUAUUGUUAAAUAAAUAUUUAUAAUAAUUUUUUAGUAAUGAAACGUUAGUCGUUUUUAAAUUUAUCUAGUUUUUUAAGAAAUAAAUUUAAUUUAGUUUACUAUUUUAAUUUAAAUAAUUAGAAUAUUUUUAAUUAAUAUAAUAAAUUAACAUUUUAAGGGAUAAGCUUUAAAAUGAAGAUUUUAAAAAUUAACUUUAUUUUAAAUAAGAAUAAGUAGGAUUAGAAGUUUUUUUCUUUUUAAGUGUGUUAUAACAAAUUUUUAUUUAAUUUGAUUUUUAUACAAUUUUAAAUUUUUUAUUAAAAUUAUUUAUUUAAUUUAAAAAUAUAUAUAAUAAUGAUAGAAUUAGUAUAAUUUAUAUGUUAAGAUUAUUUUAUAAAAUAUAGGUUAAGUUAAGGAAUUCGGCAAAUAUUUUCUUCGCCUGUUUAUUAAAAACAUGUCUUUUUGAUUAUGAUUUAAAGUCUAACCUGCCCAAUGAAUUUUUAAAUGGCCGCAGUAUUUUGACUGUGCAAAGGUAGCAUAAUAAUUAGUUUCUUAAUUAGGAACUGGUAUGAAUGGUUGGACGAGAGAAAGUCUGUCUCAAUUUAAUUUAGAUUAGAAUUUUAUUUUUAAGUUAAAAAGCUUAAAUAUUUUUAAAAGACGAGAAGACCCUAUAGAGUUUUAUAUUUAUUURUAUAUUUUGAAAAUUUAAGAAUAUUUUAAUUUAUUUAUAUUAAUAAUUAUNNNNNNNNNNNUAAUUAAAAAAUUUAA